CGUGGUAAUGCAAGAUUUAUUGGAUGCCAACCGCCAUUAAACCUCAUCGAAGAAGAAGAAGUUGCAAAACAGCUUCCAUUCACUUCACGGGCAAUAGGACAGCCAUCAGCUACUCCAAAUUCUAUAGAAAGCAUCCCUUCAUCAAUAGUGGUGCAUGCAGCCUCCAUCGGAGAUAGGGAGACUGUGCUGGAGAAAUCCAAGGACCUCAAGUUCCUUACAGGGUUUGAGGCCAAGGUGUUCCAGGACGCCCACGUGGAGGCAUUGAUGAUUCUGGGCAAGGCCUUCGCCAACUCUGACCCCUUUGACUUUGGCACCCAGAGCACCACGCAGCGGAUCCAGAGCCUGAUCUCAUCAUGCUGCGUCACCGCUUCACCCCGCCCCCCGAGGAGACCUACUCCCUGCACCGGAAGAUGGCUGGCUCCUUCCUCAUCUGUUCCAAGCUUGGUGCCAAAAUCGCCUGCAAGGACAUGUUCCGGGACAUCUACAACUCCUACCAACAGCGGCGGCUGGAGAAGGAGCAGACUGCCUAAGUUCAGGCCUAGAUAGGGUCAAAGGUCAUUACUAGGUGGUCACCCUCUCAGACGGCACCCUAGUGGGCUGAACUGACUGUCCAACUCCCAUGGCUGUGGACUAUGUUUAUUUAAGGUAGUGUAACUGUACUACACAGGUGAUCCACAGACUCCCAGCACUUUGACUCUGUCAGUGACUUGAUGCCACUCCACCACUCAAUGAGGUGGUCUGACAGUAAGGAGUGGGAGGCGGAGUGUCUGCUUGUAUAAAAGACCACAGAAAGAAACUCUAUAGCAUUUGUGUGAUUUAAUCACUUGAUUAGUGUUAAUAAUAAUUGUGUAAUGUAAAGGUAUGGUCCAACUUGAUGGGCUGUGUCUCUGUUAAUGGGAAAAGGUCUGAUAAUAUUUUGAUUGUUGUGUUUUGAUGUGCCCUGGUCCAAUGGUUUCCAUCGAACUGUAAUUUUAAUGCAGAUUGAUUAUUAUAUGCGCUCACACAUGUUAAUGCCACAAACAUCGCAUUUGUUUCUGAAAAUGGCAGUGUUUGUCCUAAAAGGUAUUUUGACACUGAAGUUAAAUGGACAAUAUUGUACACACUGCAACAAUAUCUGAAAGAGCAAUUUUUGUAAUCUUCAACAGGUAUAUUUUUGGCUAAAAAACACAAUGUCGGGAAGAUUUACUAUUUAAUGCCGGAAAAUAUCUUAUUCUAUACUAGUCUCAAUAUACAAGGCCUAUUUCACUGCCUUUUUUGGUUGCUGUAUUAAGCCGUCUUGUGAAUGUAUUUCCAUGGCAUGUUAGAUGAGCAGUGUUCUAUGUAUUUUAAAGGACUGUUUGAUGGAAACCCUAGAAGAAGUCCUUAAACAGUAUGAUAAAAUAGACCUGCUAGUUGCCGCCAACUGUAAAAAGCCUCAGCAUAAAUGUGUGCGUUGACAUUUUCACCUGAUAUUUUGUACCAUGCACUUUGGGACCAUACUCCAGCUCCAUAAGACAUAAUCAAUAAUUAUUCUGUGGGUUUCCAUCCUUGCAAUAAACAGUUGAC
Coregonus clupeaformis (lake whitefish) is the source of this 1545-nucleotide long non-coding RNA. RefSeq lists it as uncharacterized. The record is from RefSeq and is a predicted model, not a curated record. The transcript is spliced from 3 exons. Lineage: Eukaryota; Metazoa; Chordata; Actinopteri; Salmoniformes; Salmonidae.